This 1120-nucleotide long non-coding RNA is filed under the name Oryzias sinensis (Chinese medaka). RNAcentral's name for it is "lncRNA (ENSOSIG00000021336.1)". Lineage: Eukaryota; Metazoa; Chordata; Actinopteri; Beloniformes; Adrianichthyidae. The record is from RNAcentral.
AAGUGGUGCAAAUUUGUUCCAGGCUUUUUUUUUUAAAUAAACCUUUCAUUAAAGAACAGAACAUGUGUUACUGAAGCCAGUGUGAACGCAGCAUAAUGCCACCAAUAAUCUCCUGACUGUGACAUCUGUGUGCAUUCAGGUACAGAAAGGUCCCGAGUGACAGGUGUGAAGGAGGUUUUGCUCCUCGCCUCUCGGCGCAGACGGUCCGUCCCUGUGCGACGCCAAGCACCAGCUCUCCUCUCACGUCAACGUCUUACGUCUCACACUUUGACACACCGGUCAGUAGGUCAGUCACGCACCGUGUAGGCUAAUUUUGCAGCUUGCAUGUCAACUAGUGUACACAUCCCCCAGGAGGAAAGGCUGGUGUUGAUCCUGGUGUGUGCAGGAGCAGCCGUCAUCGUCCUCACAGCUGUUAGCUCAGCAGCUCUUGUAGUCAGGAGGAUGGUCUACAGAACCAGGGAACCCGAGUAUCGUUUCUCCAACCUGCGCAGUCAGGAUGACAGCAGCUGCAUCACAGCAGACCUGCUGAGUACUACCAGCAGCAACGGUACAGUGUACCAGCAGGAAUCGGAUAACUUGUGAGAGUCAUUAUAAAAUGCUUUCUUAUUACUGAGCUUGUGGCUUAAGUGUGCAAACGGAUGAUUCUUUCCAUAGGAUCUUACAGGAUUUCACAGGAUCAGUGAAGCACAGCUCCAUUUCCCUGACAUGAUGAACGCUCAUCGUUGAAAGCCUCUGCACUAAAAACUAACCGCAAGCCACGCUUUCUUGGAAACGUCCCACCACUUUCAUGGAAGCCCCUUUGUGUCAAGUUUUUAUUUUUUAAUUAAUUAAAUAUUAAUGUUAUUCAUUUUUAUUUAUUAAGCACAGUUCUCAAGUUUCUUUUGUCUCUCUUUGAUUGCUGUAUUGGUUUGUUAUUGUUUUGUAAGCUUGUGAAAAUGAAAAGAAAUUUUAAAAAUCUUUAAAAACAAGCUGCAUUAAAAACCUUGUUGUUUGUUCAUUUGGUUAUAUUUGUCUAAGCUAUAUUUUUUGUUUUGUAAUAUUUUUUAUCAAAUGUUCACAGGAUUUCUUAGUAACACAUGAAAAAAAGUUUUAUGAAGUAAGGUGCUUUUCUUAUGCAGUU